UGCUUCCCGUCCACCCAAUAAAUCCCCGUUUGUCCAACUUUGCCUGCCUCCAGCCUGCUUCCCUGCUUGUUCGCCUUCCCCGUCUUCGACAGAUCGUGACAUAUAUAUAAACGGAAGAAUCAAAGUUGCGAUGCAAAAUUAAAAAAUAAAAGCAGAGCAGAUACUUUGUGAAUCUAGGUGCUAAGCUGACUUCCAGUGCAUACAGAUACACCCGGAACGGCUUCCUUUGGAGGAAUCGGCCAAUGCUGUCUGAUUAAGCACAAACAAAAUGAGGAACUGCACUGAGGGGAACACAUGAGAUCUGAUGGCAGAAGCCAAGAUGUCGCAUGUACAUCCAUCCCUGGUGGAGAUGAUUUUGAGAAUGUGUGAUACGAUUAUCACCUGAUUCAGGAUUUUAUUUGUCACAUGCAGAUAAAUUGUAAAACUUGCAGGGAAAUGUAAAUAACAUUGUUUUUAAAGAUUAAAUGAAACUUCAGAGGUUAAAGGUUAGUUAAAAACAAAGGCUAAAUAGAAGAUAAGCUAUAUAAAUACUAUACAAAAGAAAAUGUAUUAGUGGCAGUACAGUAUAUACAGUGUACAUGGUAAUAUAUGCAUGUUAUGCAGUGUGUGACUGGCAGUAUAUGCAGUGUGCAUGGUAGGCAGUGUGUGCAUGGCAAUAUAUACGUUGUGCAUGGCAGGCAGUAUAUACAGUGUGCAUAGCAGGCAGUGUAUGCAUGGCAGUAUAUUCAGUGUGCAUGCUAGGCAGUGUAUGCAUGGCAGUAUAUUCAGUGUGCAUGCUAGGCAGUGUAUGCAUGGCAGUAUAUUCAGUAUGCAUGGUAGGCAGUGUGUGAAUGGCAGCAUAUACAGUGUACAUGGCAGCCAGUGUGUGACUGGCAGUAUGCACAGUGUGCAUGGUAGACAGUGUGCAAAGAGCAGUACUGUAUACACAGGCAUGAAAAAAACAGCAAUAAUAUUGGUAACUGACACAUGAGACAUGAUACAGUGACAAGGCAUUAAUAAUUGCCAAUCAGUUCUAAAAAAUUACCCUGUGUCCCCCAUGAAUCCAUAAUCCAGAGGUUGUGCUGGCAUGUAAGUGAGGGUGGUCCGA
Brienomyrus brachyistius is the source of this 1087-nucleotide long non-coding RNA. RefSeq lists it as uncharacterized. NCBI's taxonomy places the organism in Eukaryota, Metazoa, Chordata, Actinopteri, Osteoglossiformes, Mormyridae. The transcript has 3 exons. The record is from RefSeq and is a predicted model, not a curated record.